RNAcentral lists this ribosomal RNA (460 nucleotides) under uncultured bacterium. Its description in RNAcentral is "partial 16S ribosomal RNA". It matches the Rfam family "Bacterial small subunit ribosomal RNA", at positions 338 to 795 of the family's 1533-position model. The record is from RNAcentral.
CCUACGGGGGGCAGCAGUGAGGAAUAUUGGUCAAUGGACGAGAGUCUGAACCAGCCAAGUAGCGUGAAGGAUGACUGCCCUAUGGGUUGUAAACUUCUUUUAUAUGGGAAUAAAAUGUUCCACGUGUGGGAUUUUGUAUGUACCAUAUGAAUAAGGAUCGGCUAACUCCGUGCCAGCAGCCGCGGUAAUACGGAGGAUCCGAGCGUUAUCCGGAUUUAUUGGGUUUAACGGGAGCGUAGGUGGAUUGUUAAGUCAGUUGUGAAAGUUUGCGGCUCAACCGUAAAAUUGCAGUUGAAACUGGCAGUCUUGAGUACAGUAGAGGUGGGCGGAAUUCGUGGUGUAGCGGUGAAAUGCUUAGAUAUCACGAAGAACUCCGAUUGCGAAGGCAGUUCACUGGACUGCAACUGACACUGAGGCUCGAAAGUGUGGGUAUCAAACAGGAUUAGAUACCCCAGUAGUC